This 261-nucleotide unclassified non-coding RNA is filed under the name Hevea brasiliensis (rubber tree). Lineage: Eukaryota; Viridiplantae; Streptophyta; Magnoliopsida; Malpighiales; Euphorbiaceae. The record is from RNAcentral.
CCUUGAUCCUGUCGAUUCCUGAUGAGAUGGAAGAUGCUUUAUUAAUACACCAGAUUUCAUCUUUGGCCGAUGGUGUUAGAGGAGCUUAUCAGGUCAUCCUCCCUCUUCUCUUCCAUGGCUGCUGCAUGCGAUCCUGCUUUUGAUCUCUCUCGCCUAACUUGAUCCUGUCGACUCCUGAUGAGAUGGAUGAUGCUUUAUCAAUACACCGGAUUUCAUUUUUGGCUGAUGGUGGUAGAGGAGCUUAUCAGGUCAUCCUCCCUC